Molecule: ribosomal RNA, 586 nt
Filed under: Phaeosphaeriaceae sp.
Lineage: Eukaryota; Fungi; Ascomycota; Dothideomycetes; Pleosporales; Phaeosphaeriaceae
Description: partial large subunit ribosomal RNA
Rfam family: Eukaryotic large subunit ribosomal RNA
Source: RNAcentral
CGGCGAGUGAAGCGGCAACAGCUCAAAUUUGAAAUCUGGCUCUUUUAGGGUCCGAGUUGUAAUUUGCAGAGGGCGCUUUGGCGUUGGCAGCGGUCCAAGUUCUUUGGAACAGGACGUCACAGAGGGUGAGAAUCCCGUACGUGGUCGCUAGCCUUCGCCGUGUAAAGCCCCUUCGACGAGUCGAGUUGUUUGGGAAUGCAGCUCUAAAUGGGAGGUAAAUUUCUUCUAAAGCUAAAUACUGGCCAGAGACCGAUAGCGCACAAGUAGAGUGAUCGAAAGAUGAAAAGCACUUUGGAAAGAGAGUCAAAUAGCACGUGAAAUUGUUGAAAGGGAAGCGCUUGCAGCCAGACUUGCCUGUAGUUGCUUAUCCGGACUUUUGUCCGGUGCACUCUUCUGCGGGCAGGCCAGCAUCAGUUUAGGCGGUUGGAUAAAGGUCUCUAUCACGUACCUACCCUUCGGGGUAGGCCUUAUAGGGGAGACGACAUGCAACCAGCCUGAACUGAGGUCCGCGCAUCUGCUAGGAUGCUGGCGUAAUGGCUGUAAGCGGCCCGUCUUGAAACACGGACCAAGGAGUCUAACAUCUAUG